Molecule: RNA transcript, 4451 nt
Organism: Myotis brandtii (Brandt's bat)
Lineage: Eukaryota; Metazoa; Chordata; Mammalia; Chiroptera; Vespertilionidae
Gene: WSCD2
Gene name: WSC domain containing 2
Exons: 10
Source: RefSeq, a predicted model, not a curated record
CUUUCACUUCCUCUCGCCUCCGCCCGCCUCCCCAGCUCGCCGGCUGGCGUCGCCACCCCUCCUGGUCUCCGGCCACCGCUGUCGCCGCUGCUGCAAGCCAGGACGCACACUUCACUUUCCCGCUGGAGGCGGAGGAUGCCCCUUGCACCAGCCCCGGAGAAAUAGCCCCGAGCCCGGCUGGAGGAGCCGUGGCCGCGAGGAAGGAAAUCUGGACUCCGCUCUCCUUGAUGCCACUGCAGCAGCUGGCAGCUGGGAAGGCGCCCACAGAGCGGGCACGCCAAGCGGGACGAGGGAGUCUCUGAGAGAGACCCCAGGCGCCUGCUCGGCUCCGCUGGCAGAGUUUGCAAGUGGCUGACACCCCCGCAGGUGGCAGACCUGAGCCCUGAUGCUUGACCGGAUGUCAGCCCGCCAGCUUCUGUUUCCACGAGUGGACACACAGAGCGUGGUCCCCAGCUGGGAAAGAAGCCGGAAACGGCCUUGGUGAAAUAAUCCAGCCCCAACCGGCCUGAGCAGCUAAGAAAGGCGAGGAGGGCACUGUGGCUGCUGCUGACCUGAGAAUCCUCCUCCACUUGCUCCUCUCAAAGCUCUUUGGGGCUCUCUGAGGCCAAGAACAAGAUGUAGGAAAAUGGGACCAACUCCUGGGUGUCCUGAGCCUCAAAACUCCUCUUGUGGCCCAAAGACACUCACCUUGACCUUGGGUGGGCUGGCCAGUUCUGUAUUCCGUUCUCUUGGCCUCAGCCACAUGCUAGACGCCCUCCAGCUCUGAUCCUGGCAGUUGCCUUCGCAGAAGGAAGAAGACUGAAGGCUCCCAGGGGUUCCAACCCUAAGGGGAGCUGGGGAAAGGAAGCCCCCUCCAUCCCUGCCCUGUGGCCCCUCCAGCCAAGCCCCGGCCAGCCAGUCCGGAAUGAUCCCGCUAUGGCCAAGCUCUGGUUCAAGUUCCAGCGGUACUUCCGCCGAAAACCUGUGCGUUUCUUUACCUUCCUGGUGCUCUACCUGACGGCCGGGAGCCUCGUCUUCCUUCACGCUGGCUUUGUGGGCCAGCCGGCCGUCUCCCAGAACCAGGCCAGCCCUGCCGCCAGGGCCCCGGCCGAGGUCGCCGAGCUGCCCUUCCUGGGAGACUGGCAUCUGGGCAGAGGCUUCAGGGACGCGGGGGAAACCUUGAGCCUCGCCCACAGAUAUGGACACGGACCCUGGUUCAAGGGCAAAGAUGGGAAUGAGAGAGCCAAGCUGGGCGACUACGGAGGUGGAGCCUGGAGCCGAGCCCUCAAGGGGAGGGCUGUCCGGGAGAAGGAGGAGGAGCGAGCCAAGUACAUCGGCUGCUACCUGGACGACACCCAGAGUCGGGCCCUGCGAGGCGUGUCCUUUUUCGACUACAAAAAGAUGACCGUCUUCCGUUGCCAGGACAACUGUGCAGAACGGGGUUACCUGUAUGCCGGGCUGGAGUUCGGCGCCGAGUGCUACUGCGGCCACAAGAUCCAGGCGACAAACGUGAGCGAGGCCGAGUGCGACAUGGAGUGCAAGGGCGAGCGAGGCAGCCUGUGCGGCGGCGCCAACCGCCUCUCCGUCUACCGGCUGCAGCUGGCCCAGGAGUCGGCCCGCAGGUAUGGAAGCGCGGUCUUCCGAGGCUGCUUCCGCAGGCCCAACAACCUCUCCCUGGCCCUGCCCGUGACGGCCGCCAUGCCAAACAUGUCCGUGGACAAGUGCGUGGACCUCUGCACAGAGAAGGAGUACCCGCUGGCAGCCCUUGCGGGCACCGCCUGCCACUGUGGCUUCCCCACCACGCGAUUCCCCCUGCACGAGAGAGAAGACGAACAGCUGUGUGCCCAGAAGUGCAGCGCGGAGGAGUUUGAGAGCUGCGGGACCCCCAGUUACUUCAUCGUGUACCAGACGCAGGUGCAGGACAACCGCUGCAUGGACAGAAGGUUCCUCCCAGCCAAGUCCAAGCAGCUCAUCGCUCUGGCCAGCUUCCCAGGUGCCGGCAACACGUGGGCUCGCCACCUCAUCGAGCUGGCCACCGGCUUCUACACCGGCAGCUACUACUUCGAUGGUUCUCUCUACAACAAAGGGUUUAAAGGUGAGCGGGACCACUGGCGCAGCGGGAGGACCAUCUGCAUCAAGACACACGAGAGCGGCCAGAAGGAGAUCGAGGCCUUCGAUGCCGCCAUCCUGCUCAUCCGCAACCCCUACAAGGCCCUCAUGGCGGAGUUCAACCGCAAGUACGGCGGCCACAUCGGCUUCGCUGCGCAUGCGCACUGGAAGGGCAAAGAGUGGCCCGAGUUCGUGAGGAACUACGCCCCGUGGUGGGCCACGCACACGCUGGACUGGCUCAAGUUCGGCAAGAAGGUGCUGGUGGUGCACUUCGAGGACCUGAAGCAGGACCUGUUCGUGCAGCUGGGCCGGAUGGUCCGCCUGCUGGGCGUGGCCGUCCGCGAGGACCGGCUGCUGUGCGUGGAGAGCCAGAAGGACGGCAACUUCAAGCGCUCAGGGCUGCGCAAGCUGGAGUACGACCCCUACACGGCGGACAUGCAGAGGACCAUCCAGGCCUACAUCAAGCUGGUGGACGCGGCCCUGAAGGGGCGGAACCUCACGGGCGUGCCCGACGACUACUACCCCAGAUGAUGGGCCCGCCGGGGAGGGGCCUCGAGACCCCCGGGGACCCCGCCCACCCGUCUGGCCCCUUUUUGGUCUGGGGACAGCCCCCUCGGCUGCUGCUGGCCUUCAGUGCGUUUCCUGCGUGACACAGGAGCCUCAGGGGACAACCACCUGCUCACAGCCCUUCACAGCCCAGGAGGCCCCUGAUGGGGGAGCCCCAGCCACACAGGCUUCUGUCUCCCACGGCCCUGCCCCCACCACUCUGGUUCUCCCCGUGGGAGGGCGGGCUCCUGGGUGUCCCGGAGACUCGGGUGCCUCCCACGGUGCUGAGGACCUGGAUGCUGGGAAAGGUGCCCCCGGCGCUCCGCCCUCCGGGCUGGGCUCGCGCGGGCUCUUCUCUCCAGGCAGCAGCGAGCAGCCCAGGUUCAUCAGGCCACUUGGGUGGGAGAAGGGUUGCUGGAGGUUUCUCUCUAGCGUCCCGUUUCUGACACUCCCGGUGGGUGGGGAAGCCCCAGUGCUCGCAGGAAGUUCACGGGCACCACCAGGUAGGGUCCCUGCAUCACGAGCCCACCCCCAGGUCACACUGCUCCUGAGGACCGAGCCAAGGUCAAAUUCUGCCCUUUCCUCCCCCGCUGGGCCCAGGAAGUGACCUGGGGAUCCCUGGUCCCAUGUCCGGGGUUCUCCGGGCACCAACAGUUAUCCCAGCAGGAUGGCCGAGGGCCCGUGCAGACUCUGAGUAAGAACGAGAGCCCUGUCACACGUCGCUCCACCACGGGUGCGGCACGUGGAGCUCACACUGCCUCUGACCCCCGCCGACGGGGCCUGCGCUCUCCGGGCGAGAGAGCAAGGGUGCUCCAGACCAGGUGGGACCAGACCCAAAAGAGACCCAGCUCCCUUCCCGCACCAUCGGCCUGUCGUGAUCACAGUCCCAAAGGGGUGGCUUCCCGCUCCAGGCCUUUGAGGAAUGAAGCGAAUGCAAUGGCUCUUCACUUCCGCACAGACGCCGCUCCCCGAAGCUGAGUCAUCAAACCAAAGGAUUCCUGGGGACCCCGUGUCCCCUAUCCUCGAUCUUUGAAAGCAUGGAUCAGGAUCCCUCCGCUUCCCCACCUUGGAGACCAGCGGCUUCCCACCUGCGCUCCUGCACCGCCCCCAUCUCGUAGAUGCAAAAGCCAUAGGUCACAGCUCUUCACUGUUCUGUCCGGAGCACCCCCUCCCCAGCAGCCCCCCUGAAGCCUUGGGGUGCAAGGACAGGCUCACUCCCAAACAGCCAGGAGGCCAUGGAGAAGGCGAGCGUAAAGAGAUAUAUUUUUUUAAGAGGAAUAUGACUAAUACAUUCCGCCCCUUGGAAGCCGGCUGUGCAAAGCGAAGGGGCCAGGGGCUCAGACCUGCGAUUCUCGCCCCGAACCCCUCCCCUGUCGGCUGUGGGUGACCCCAGGGCCCCCCCCCAGGGGCUCUGAAUGUAUUUUGUACCAAGUUUCUUUCUCCCAGGCUCAUGUCUAGCCUUUGGGGAAGCCUCCCCCACUCCCACCCACAGGCCAGCUCGCUCUGGGAGCCUCUGGGCCCACGGCCUGGGCCAGCUCUUGGCCGGCGGUCACCUCGGGCCACGGGCCUCCGUCUGAAGAUUCCUCAGGUCAACACCAUCAUUAAAAUCUGCGAUCCGCCGGCGUGCAGGGGGAGAAACAUGGAAAUGAGAAGAAACAGGCGGAACAUCGAGGAGGAAGAGGUGAUAAAAUAUUCGUCCCCUCACCCACCCCCCAGUACCCGCCGCCUUAAAUCCAAUUUCAAACGAAGGUGGGGAGGCAUCCGAGCAGGCCCCGCGUCUGCCUUUCAGGCCGCUGAGAGCUAAUUGAACUGAACAG